This 1475-nucleotide ribosomal RNA is filed under the name Candidatus Pelagibacter sp. RNAcentral describes it as "bacterial SSU rRNA". It matches the Rfam family "Bacterial small subunit ribosomal RNA". The record is from RNAcentral. Lineage: Bacteria; Pseudomonadati; Pseudomonadota; Alphaproteobacteria; Candidatus Pelagibacterales; Candidatus Pelagibacteraceae.
AAACUUGAGAGUUUGAUCAUGGCUCAGAACGUACGCUGGCGGCACGCCUAACACAUGCAAGUCGAACGAAGUAGCAAUACUUAGUGGCAGACGGGUGAGUAACAUGUAGGUAUCUGCCCUUUGGCCUGGAAUAACACGAGGAAACUUGUGCUAAUACCGGAUAAGUCUUUACGGAGAAAGCUUUAUGCACCAUUGGAUGAGCCUGCACUUGAUUAGUUUGUUGGUGGGGUAAUGGCCUACCAAGACUGUGAUCAAUAGCUGAUUUGAGAGGAUGAUCAGCCACAUUGGGACUGAGACACGGCCCAAACUCCUACGGGAGGCAGCAGUGGGGAAUCUUGCACAAUGGAGGAAACUCUGAUGCAGCGAUGCCGCGUGAGUGAAGAAGGCCUUUGGGUUGUAAAGCUCUUUCGUCGGGGAAGAAAAUGACUGUACCCGAAUAAGAAGGUCCGGCUAACUUCGUGCCAGCAGCCGCGGUAAUACGAAGGGACCUAGCGUAGUUCGGAAUUACUGGGCUUAAAGAGUUCGUAGGUGGUUGAAAAAGUUAGUGGUGAAAUCCCAGAGCUUAACUCUGGAACUGCCAUUAAAACUUUUCAGCUAGAGUAUGAUAGAGGAAAGCAGAAUUUCUAGUGUAGAGGUGAAAUUCGUAGAUAUUAGAAAGAAUACCAAUUGCGAAGGCAGCUUUCUGGAUCAUUACUGACACUGAGGAACGAAAGCAUGGGUAGCGAAGAGGAUUAGAUACCCUCGUAGUCCAUGCCGUAAACGAUGUGUGUUAGACGUUGGAAAUUUAUUUUCAGUGUCGCAGCGAAAGCGAUAAACACACCGCCUGGGGAGUACGACCGCAAGGUUAAAACUCAAAUGAAUUGACGGGGACCCGCACAAGUAGUGGAGCAUGUGGUUUAAUUCGAAGAUACGCGCAGAACCUUACCAACACUUGACAUGUUCGUCGCGACUCUAAGAGAUUAGAGUUUUCGGUUCGGCCGGACGAAACACAGGUGCUGCAUGGCUGUCGUCAGCUCGUGUCGUGAGAUGUUGGGUUAAGUCCCGCAACGAGCGCAACCCUCACUUUUAGUUGCCAUCAUUAAGUUGGGCACUCUGAAAGAACUGCCAGUGAUAAGCUGGAGGAAGGUGGGGAUGACGUCAAGUCCUCAUGGCCCUUACGUGUUGGGCUACACACGUGCUACAAUGGUAUCUACAACAGGAAGCAAGACUGCGAAGUUAAGCAAAUCCCUAAAAGAUACCUCAGUUCGGAUUGCACUCUGCAACUCGAGUGCAUGAAGCUGGAAUUACUAGUAAUCGUGGAUCAGCGUGCCACGGUGAAUGCGUUCCCGGGUCUUGUACACACCGCCCGUCACACCAUGGGAGUUGGUUCUACCUUAAGGCAAGGUUUCAAACCCUUGACCACGGUAUAGUCAGCGACUGGGGUGAAGUCGUAACAAGGUAGCCGUAGGGGAACCUGCGGCUGGAUUACCUCCUUU